CCUACGUGAGGCAGCAGUGGGGAAUAUUGGACAAUGGGCGAAAGCCUGAUCCAGCAAUGCCGCGUGAGUGAUGAAGGCCUUAGGGUUGUAAAGCUCUUUUACCAGGGAUGAUAAUGACAGUACCUGGAGAAUAAGCUCCGGCUAACUCCGUGCCAGCAGCCGCGGUAAUACGGAGGGAGCUAGCGUUGUUCGGAAUUACUGGGCGUAAAGCGUACGUAGGCGGCGAUUCAAGUCAGAGGUGAAAGCCUGGAGCUCAACUCCAGAACUGCCUUUGAAACUAGAUUGCUAGAAUCGUGGAGAGGUGAGUGGAAUUCCGAGUGUAGAGGUGAAAUUCGUAGAUAUUCGGAAGAACACCAGUGGCGAAGGCGGCUCACUGGACACGUAUUGACGCUGAGGUACGAAAGCGUGGGGAGCAAACAGGAUUAGAUACCCUGGUAGUCCACGCCGUAAACGAUGAUAACUAGCUGCCAGGGUUCUUAGAACUUUGGUGGCGCAGCUAACGCAUUAAGUUAUCCGCCUGGGGAGUACGGUCGCAAGAUUAAAACUCAAAGGAAUUGACGG
Molecule: ribosomal RNA, 561 nt
Filed under: uncultured bacterium
Lineage: Bacteria
Description: bacterial SSU rRNA
Rfam family: Bacterial small subunit ribosomal RNA
Source: RNAcentral